AAAGUCUGACGGAGCAACGCCGCGUGAGUGAAGAAGGUUUUCGGAUUGUAAAGCUCUGUCGUUUGGGACGAACGUGGAUUGUGUGAAUAAUGCAAUCUAAUGACGGUACCUGAAUAAGAAGCCCCGGCUAACUACGUGCCAGCAGCCGCGGUAAUACGUAGGGGGCAAGCGUUAUCCGGAAUUACUGGGUGUAAAGGGAGAGUAGGCGGCAUGGUAAGUUAGAUGUGAAAGCCCGAGGCUUAACCUCGGGAUUGCAUUUAAAACUAUCAAGCUAGAGUACAGGAGAGGUAAGUGGAAUUCCUAGUGUAGCGGUGAAAUGCGUAGAUAUUAGGAAGAACACCAGUGGCGAAGGCGACUUACUGGACUGAAACUGACGCUGAGGCUCGAAAGCGUGGGGAUCAAACA
This 405-nucleotide ribosomal RNA is filed under the name uncultured Clostridium sp. RNAcentral describes it as "bacterial SSU rRNA". It matches the Rfam family "Bacterial small subunit ribosomal RNA", at positions 378 to 774 of the family's 1533-position model. Lineage: Bacteria; Bacillati; Bacillota; Clostridia; Eubacteriales; Clostridiaceae. The record is from RNAcentral.